GGUUGCGAUCAUACCAGCACUAAUGCACCGGAUCCCAUCAGAACUCCGCAGCUAAGCGUGCUUGGGCGAGAGCAGUACUAGGAUGGGUGACCCCCUGGGAAGUCCUCGUGUUGCAACCCC
This 120-nucleotide ribosomal RNA is filed under the name Helianthus annuus (common sunflower). Lineage: Eukaryota; Viridiplantae; Streptophyta; Magnoliopsida; Asterales; Asteraceae. The record is from RNAcentral.